Molecule: ribosomal RNA, 239 nt
Filed under: Chloroflexota bacterium
Lineage: Bacteria; Bacillati; Chloroflexota
Description: Chloroflexi bacterium partial 23S ribosomal RNA
Rfam family: Bacterial large subunit ribosomal RNA
Source: RNAcentral
GAGGACCGAGAUGGCUGGACCGCUGGUGAGCCAGUUGGCCUGCCCAGGCCACCGCUGGAUAGCUACGUCCAGAAAGGAGAAGCGCUGACAGCAUCUAAGCGCGAAGCCGCCCCCAAGAUGAGUGUUCCCAUCUCUUUUCAAGAGAGAUGAAGAUCCCAGGGAGACCACCUGGUAGCUAGACCGCGGGUGCACGCCUGGUAACAGGUGCAGCCAAGCGGCCCUAAUGAUCUAACGGCUUG